Long non-coding RNA from Neofelis nebulosa (Clouded leopard), 497 nucleotides. RefSeq lists it as uncharacterized. Lineage: Eukaryota; Metazoa; Chordata; Mammalia; Carnivora; Felidae. The record is from RefSeq and is a predicted model, not a curated record. The transcript has 3 exons.
CUCUCGGCUGUCCCAACGGGUCAUGGCGAGCCGUGCACACUCCUUCUUGGCUGGCUGCCAAGGCUGUUAGCUGUUCCUCCUGCCUUUUCUACUCGUCUCAGAGAAGGAGCGGAGCAAUCUUCCCAUCCAGGACCAGGUUUUGCUGUUAAAAUGCUCAAAUGUUUCGUAGCUCAUGUGGAGGAGGCCUUUUGUUAGGAACGUUCGUGGGGGGAGAGUGCUACUUGCCAGGAGCCCAAGGAAUGAUGUAUGUUGGCCCAUCGCAGAUGAGGGCUGAGGCAUCAGAAAGAAAAACCUUCACAAGUCUAUGGCCAUACCACCCUGAACACGCUUGAUCUCAGAAGCUCCUCAGGGUCAGGCCUGGUUAGUACUCGGAUGGGAGGAAAGCCUUCGCACGUCUGAGGAAGUGGGUCCCCAAGCCAACUCAUCUUCCUAGAAGCAACCUGAAAACUCUUCCAAUAAGUUCCGAUAAUAAAGCAUUUCAGCAUCCCACGUCCCGA